Molecule: long non-coding RNA, 860 nt
Filed under: Taeniopygia guttata (zebra finch)
Lineage: Eukaryota; Metazoa; Chordata; Aves; Passeriformes; Estrildidae
Description: lncRNA (ENSTGUG00000020935.1)
Source: RNAcentral
GGAGGAAUUCGGGCCAAUUCGGCACACCUGUGGUGCUUCCACAGAAUCAAUUAGGUUGGAAAAGACCUCUGAGAUCAUCGAGUCCAACCUUUCCUGGCUCUAGAUGCACUGAGUUAUUAUUUUCCCCACGUGCAGAUGUGCUCCUGUUUACCUCACUUCAUAACGACUUCAGUAGAAGUCAGUGCAGAACAGCUUGUAAAUACAUGGAUUUAUUCUGCCACUGCUUCCCUUAAACAUCAAAAUAUUAAAACACAAAAGCUCCCCGAUUACUCCUCAGCAGAUCAGUGACUUUACACACAAGCAGCUUUCCCUGGAGCAAAUUAAAACAACUCUUUCAAAAAAAUUGAGCUGAAGUGGAUUGUUUCCGGAUUCCCAAGAGCUGUGAGGGACACUGUGCAACACCAGGAUCCUCAGAGCGGCUGCAAAAGAAGGAUGAGGCAUAAAGAGGAGGAACUCACCCAGGUCCCACCCGGCAGUGCAGAAGGAACCAGAAUUACCAGCCCUCGCUCUGCCUCGCCCAGGGUGUGCCUUGAUGGAAACAAACUGCUGGACAUUUUCUCCAAGCACACCUCUGCUGGUGCUCAUGUGAGAAGCAAAGCCCUGAACAUAUUUUGACUUGAUCUUCAUUAUGAAGUGAAUUAUUUCUUUGCUAGAGGAAGCAGAAUCCCAGUGAGCAGCAGUCGAAUGUCAGGUCCACAACACUUCAGUUUUCAUUCCCAGCCAUGCAGCUAUGUCAUGUCAGCACCAACACAAAUUUCAAUCAGUGUCACUCUCUCCAAAGCUUGGCCCGAAGAACCAACUUAAAAAUGUUUUCAUAGGAGAGGACCAUAGUUGCCCUGGGGUAUGAGGAGCUCAAAGCA